This 62-nucleotide transfer RNA is filed under the name Psylla alni. RNAcentral's name for it is "tRNA-Asn". The record is from RNAcentral. Lineage: Eukaryota; Metazoa; Arthropoda; Insecta; Hemiptera; Psyllidae.
UUGUGAAAAAGUCAAAAAGAGACAAAUUAUUGUUAAUAAUUUAAAUGGGGCCCCCUUUCACA